Molecule: ribosomal RNA, 548 nt
Filed under: uncultured bacterium
Lineage: Bacteria
Description: bacterial SSU rRNA
Rfam family: Bacterial small subunit ribosomal RNA
Source: RNAcentral
UGGGGAAUUUUGGACAAUGGACGAANNUCUGAUCCAGCCAUGCCGCGUGCGGGAAGAAGGCCUUCGGGUUGUAAACCGCUUUUGUCAGGGAAGAAAUCCUUUGAGCUAAUACCUCGGGGGGAUGACGGUACCUGAAGAAUAAGCACCGGCUAACUACGUGCCAGCAGCCGCGGUAAUACGUAGGGUGCAAGCGUUAAUCGGAAUUACUGGGCGUAAAGCGUGCGCAGGCGGUUAUGUAAGACAGAGGUGAAAUCCCCGGGCUCAACCUGGGAACUGCCUUUGUGACUGCAUAGCUUGAGUGCGGCAGAGGGGGAUGGAAUUCCGCGUGUAGCAGUGAAAUGCGUAGAUAUGCGGAGGAACACCGAUGGCGAAGGCAAUCCCCUGGGCCUGCACUGACGCUCAUGCACGAAAGCGUGGGGAGCAAACAGGAUUAGAUACCCUGGUAGUCCACGCCCUAAACGAUGUCAACUGGUUGUUGGGAAGGUUCCUUCUCAGUAACGUAGCUAACGCGUGAAGUUGACCGCCUGGGGAGUACGGCCGCAAGGUUG